AGUGAACGCUGGCGGUAGGCCUAACACAUGCAAGUCGAACGGCAGCACAGUAAGAGCUUGCUCUUACGGGUGGCGAGUGGCGGACGGGUGAGGCAUACAUCGGAAUCUACUUUUUCGUGGGGGAUAACGUAGGGAAACUUACGCUAAUACCGCAUACGACCUACGGGUUAAAGCAGGGGAUCUUCGGACCUUGCGCGACUGAAUGAGCCGAUGUCGGAUGAGCUAGUUUGCUGGGUAAAGGCCCACCAAGGCAACGAUCCGUAGCUGGUCUGAGAGGAUGAUCGGCCACACUGGAACUGAGACACGGUCCAGACUACUACGGGAGGCAGCAGUGGGGAAUAUUGGACAAUGGGCGCAAGCCUGAUCCAGCCAUGCCGCGUGGGUGAAGAAGGCCUUCGGGUUGUAAAGCCCUUUUGUUGGGAAAGAAAAGAAGCAGGUUAAUACCCCGCUGUUCUGACGGUACCCAAAGAAUAAGCACCGGCUAACUUCGUG
This 492-nucleotide ribosomal RNA is filed under the name uncultured bacterium. RNAcentral's name for it is "partial 16S ribosomal RNA". It matches the Rfam family "Bacterial small subunit ribosomal RNA", at positions 29 to 507 of the family's 1533-position model. The record is from RNAcentral.